UCCGUGUUAACCACGGCAGUCUCUUUAGAGUGCCCAACUGAAUGCUGGCAACUAAAGACAAGGGUUGCGCUCGUUGCGGGACUUAACCCAACAUGUCACCACACGAGCUGACGACAGCCAUGCAGCACCUGUCUCUCUGUGGUAUUGCUACCAAAGCCCUAUCUCUAGGGCGGUCAGAGGAUGUCAAACCCAGGUAAGGUUUUUCGCGUUGCUUCGAAUUAAACCACAUGAUCCACCGCUUGUGCGGGCCCCCGUCAAUUCCUUUGAGUUUUAGUCUUGCGACCGUACUUCCCAGGCGGGGCAUUUAUCGCGUUAGCUACGGCUCGGCAGGGGUCAAGACCCGCCAAGCCUAAUGCCCAUCGUUUACAGCGUGGACUAC
This 379-nucleotide unclassified non-coding RNA is filed under the name uncultured Oligoflexales bacterium. Its description in RNAcentral is "contains 16S-23S intergenic spacer region". The record is from RNAcentral. Lineage: Bacteria; Pseudomonadati; Bdellovibrionota; Oligoflexia; Oligoflexales.